UGGCUCUCGCAUCGAUGAAGAACGCAGCGAAAUGCGAUAAGUAAUGUGAAUUGCAGAAUUCAGUGAAUCAUCGAAUCUUUGAACGCACCUUGCACCCUUUGGUAUUCCGAAGGGUACACCCGUUUGAGUGUCAUUGUAAUCUCACCUCCGGAAACUUGUUUUCUGGGAGUGGACUUGGAUGCCUGCCGUGUCUCACGGCUCAUCUGGAAUGUCUCAGUGUACCCCGCUCGUCAGCGUAAACAGUGUGGUAGGUAUCUUCACUGGUUAGCUUCCUUGGAGGCGCGCUCUCAGGUGGAUUGGCUAUGCUGCCAACCGUCUUCGGACAAAACUCUGACAAUUUGACCUCAAAUCGGGUGGGAUUACCCGCUGA
RNAcentral lists this unclassified non-coding RNA (370 nucleotides) under uncultured fungus. RNAcentral's name for it is "partial contains 5.8S ribosomal RNA and internal transcribed spacer 2". The stretch from base 1 to 133 matches the Rfam family "5.8S ribosomal RNA", at positions 22 to 154 of the family's 154-position model. Lineage: Eukaryota; Fungi. The record is from RNAcentral.